GAUGAACGCUAGCGACAGGCCUAACACAUGCAAGUCGAGGGGCAUCGGGACGUAGCAAUACGUUGCCGGCGACCGGCGGAUGGGUGAGUAACGCGUAUGCAACCUACCCGUAGCAGGGGGAUAGCCCGUUGAAAGACGGAUUAAUACCCCGUAAACAGGGGCUCCGCAUGGAGAUUAUUGUUAAAGGGUCAUUUCUUUUAGAGGUGGUCCGGCUGCGGAUGGGCAUGCGUUCCAUUAGGUAGUUGGUGUAGGUAACGGCUCACCAAGCCGACGAUGGAUAGGGGAACUGAGAGGUUGGUCCCCCACACUGGUACUGAGACACGGACCAGACUCCUACGGGAGGCAGCAGUGAGGAAUCUUGGUCAAUGGACGCAAGUCUGAACCAGCCAUGUCGCGUGAAGGAGGACGGCCCUAAGGGUUGUAAACUUCUUUUGCAGCGGAAUAAAGUUUGCCACGAGUUGGCGAUUUGCAAGUACGCUGCGAAUAAGGAUCGGCUAACUCCGUG
RNAcentral lists this ribosomal RNA (505 nucleotides) under uncultured bacterium. RNAcentral's name for it is "bacterial SSU rRNA". It matches the Rfam family "Bacterial small subunit ribosomal RNA", at positions 28 to 507 of the family's 1533-position model. The record is from RNAcentral.